GUCCUAGCGCUCGCUUCAGCUGGACAUACACUAAAUCAGAACGUUACAGAUAAGCAUGGCCUCUCCGCAGGGAUGACACGCACAUUCACGAAGUGUUUCAUAUUCCA
Molecule: small nuclear RNA, 107 nt
Organism: Ursus maritimus (polar bear)
Lineage: Eukaryota; Metazoa; Chordata; Mammalia; Carnivora; Ursidae
Source: Ensembl